UACAGGGGGUGCGAGCGUUAAUCGGAGUUACUGGGUGUAAAGGGCGCGUAGGCGGUGAGAUGUGUGUGAUGUGAAAGCCCCGGGCUUAACCUGGGAAGUGCAUUGCAAACUAUCUGACUAGAGUAUAUGAGAGGGUGGCGGAAUUUCCGGUGUAGCGGUGAAAUGCGUAGAGAUCGGAAGGAACGUCAAUGGCGAAGGCAGCCACCUGGCAUAAUACUGACGCUGAGGCGCGAAAGCGUGGGGAGCGAACAGG
RNAcentral lists this ribosomal RNA (253 nucleotides) under uncultured bacterium. RNAcentral's name for it is "partial 16S ribosomal RNA". It matches the Rfam family "Bacterial small subunit ribosomal RNA", at positions 524 to 776 of the family's 1533-position model. The record is from RNAcentral.